AAACGUCCCAGUUCGGAUUGCAGCCUGCAACUCGGCUGCAUGAAGCUGGAAUCGCUAGUAAUCGCGGAUCAGAAUGCCGCGGUGAAUACGUUCCCGGGUCUUGUACACACCGCCCGUCACACCAUGGGAGUCGGAAAUGCCCGAAGUCAGUGGCCCAACCGCAAGGAGGGAGCUGCCGAAGGCAGGUCCGGUGACUGGGGUGAAGUCGUAACAAGGUACC
RNAcentral lists this ribosomal RNA (220 nucleotides) under uncultured bacterium. RNAcentral's name for it is "partial 16S ribosomal RNA". It matches the Rfam family "Bacterial small subunit ribosomal RNA", at positions 1281 to 1500 of the family's 1533-position model. The record is from RNAcentral.